RNAcentral lists this ribosomal RNA (391 nucleotides) under uncultured bacterium. RNAcentral's name for it is "bacterial SSU rRNA". It matches the Rfam family "Bacterial small subunit ribosomal RNA", at positions 28 to 420 of the family's 1533-position model. The record is from RNAcentral.
GACGAACGCUGGCGGCGUGCUUAACACAUGCAAGUCGAGCGAGGCCCUCCUUCGGGGGGUGCCCUAGCGGCGAACGGGUGAGUAACACGUGGGCAACCUGCCCUCAGCUCUGGGAUAACUCCAAGAAAUUGGUGCUAAUACCGGAUGUGACCGCUGACCGCAUGGUCUGGUGGUGGAAAGAUUUAUCGGCUGAGGAUGGGCCCGCGGCCUAUCAGCUUGUUGGUGGGGUCACGGCCCACCAAGGCGACGACGGGUAGCCGGCCUGAGAGGGUGACCGGCCACACUGGGACUGAGACACGGCCCAGACUCCUACGGGAGGCAGCAGUGGGGAAUAUUGCGCAAUGGGCGAAAGCCUGACGCAGCGACGCCGCGUGAGGGAUGACGGCCUCGG